UUCGAAUGCCGUAUACACGCGUAUAAUACGGGUCCGUGACGUCAGACACGUCAUCUCCGCGUGGAAGCUAAGGACCAACUGGCGCUUCAGGCGCUGUAUUUCAGGAGAUCCCGAUCUGCGCACAGCUACUGCCCCUGGACCGGCGCGUUAGAGUAUAAAUUUCACAGUUCACGGAAGAUGUCUACCCUUAUCUGUUAGCCGACACCUUUUUAAAUAUGGGCUACAUUAUUAGCAACAAUCUACAUCUGUGUUUUAAAAAUCGAAGCAGUGCGGCCAGUGCGUCUCAAUACUAUAACAGAAUCCUUAAAAGAGCCAGGCCAGAGGGACCUUAUCUACCAACGGUACCAAUCGAAGACUAUAC
Molecule: non-coding RNA, 361 nt
Organism: Plutella xylostella (diamondback moth)
Lineage: Eukaryota; Metazoa; Arthropoda; Insecta; Lepidoptera; Plutellidae
Source: RefSeq, a predicted model, not a curated record